RNAcentral lists this long non-coding RNA (331 nucleotides) under Elaeis guineensis (African oil palm). RNAcentral describes it as "long non-coding RNA (EGUI_LNC031506)". The record is from RNAcentral. Lineage: Eukaryota; Viridiplantae; Streptophyta; Magnoliopsida; Arecales; Arecaceae.
UAAUAAUUUAUCAAUGAUAUAUAUCAACAUAAUUUUUUUUUCAAAAUAUACCAUGCAUAUUAGUAAAAGUCAAAAAUUCUCUCUCAAUCUUUGUUGACUAUAGCUACGAUCAGUCCCGUGAUAAGGCUCAGGAGAAACUAACCCCUAAAAUAUAGACACCUGAUCCUUCAGUAUGUAUCAGAGAAAAACUAGGUCUGAUUCACAUGGCCAUGAUUUAUCCCAUGACAAAACAAAAAGAUUAGUCCUAAAAUAAAAAAUACACAAUGCAUCAGUGUGUGCCAGCAAUCAACCCCAACUGGCUAGAUCCAAGAGGACUAACUCUACCAGCGAU